UACGUAGGGUGCAAGCGUUGUCCGGAAUUAUUGGGCGUAAAGAGCUCGUAGGCGGUUUGUCGCGUCUGCUGUGAAAACUCGGGGCUUAACUCCGGGCCUGCAGUGGGUACGGGCAGACUAGAGUGCGGUAGGGGAGACUGGAAUUCCUGGUGUAGCGGUGAAAUGCGCAGAUAUCAGGAGGAACACCGAUGGCGAAGGCAGGUCUCUGGGCAUUAACUGACGCUGAGGCACGAAGGCCAGGGGAGCAAACGGG
This 253-nucleotide ribosomal RNA is filed under the name uncultured bacterium. RNAcentral describes it as "partial 16S ribosomal RNA". It matches the Rfam family "Bacterial small subunit ribosomal RNA", at positions 524 to 776 of the family's 1533-position model. The record is from RNAcentral.